This 52-nucleotide transfer RNA is filed under the name Hymenasplenium cardiophyllum. RNAcentral's name for it is "partial tRNA-Phe". Lineage: Eukaryota; Viridiplantae; Streptophyta; Polypodiopsida; Polypodiales; Aspleniaceae. The record is from RNAcentral.
GGCCGAGAUAGCUCAGUCGGUAAAGCAGAGGACUGAAAAUCCUCGUGUCACC